AUGGUAAAACUGAUAGCUUCUUAUGAUGAGGAGGUUGGUGCUGUUGUACUAGGCAAUGCUCCAGGAAAUGCAAAGUAUACUUCACCAACAAUUCAAAAAGAAAUCAUGCAUAUUAUGGCUUGUGAUGUGCAAAGUUCAAUCCGCAAUGAAAUUGGCGAUGCCAAGUUUUGCCUGCUUAUUGAUGAAUCAAGAGAUGAAUCUAAAAGAGAGCAAAUGGCCAUUGUUCUCCAUUUUGUUGAUAAACAAGGUUUCAAUCGAGAACGUCUUUUUGAUCUUGUUCAUGUUAAAGAUACAUCUUCAGCAACUUUAAAAGAAGAAAUAGAUUUUGUUUUGUCCCAACAUGAUUUGGAUGUUCAAAAUAUUCGGGGACAAGGAUAUGAUGGUGCUAGCAACAUGCAUGGAGAGUGA
This 408-nucleotide ribosomal RNA is filed under the name Triticum aestivum (bread wheat). RNAcentral describes it as "partial small subunit ribosomal RNA". The record is from RNAcentral. Lineage: Eukaryota; Viridiplantae; Streptophyta; Magnoliopsida; Poales; Poaceae.